Molecule: ribosomal RNA, 498 nt
Filed under: uncultured bacterium
Lineage: Bacteria
Description: partial 16S ribosomal RNA
Rfam family: Bacterial small subunit ribosomal RNA
Source: RNAcentral
GAUGAACGCUGGCGGCGUGCCUAAUACACGCAAGUCGAACGCUUCACUUCGGUGAAGAGUGGCGAACGGGUGAGUAAUACAUAAGUAACCUGGCAUCUACAGGGGGAUAACUGAUGGAAACGUCAGCUAAGACCGCAUAGGUGUAGAGAUCGCAUGAACUCUAUAUGAAAAGUGCUACGGGACUGGUAGAUGAUGGACUUAUGGCGCAUUAGCUGUUUGGUAGGGUAACGGCCUACCAAGGCGACGAUGCGUAGCCGACCUGAGAGGGUGACCGGCCAAACUGGGACUGAGACACGGCCCAGACUCCUACGGGAGGCAGCAGUAGGGAAUUUUCGGCAAUGGGGGAAACCCUGACCGAGCAACGCCGCGUGAAGGAAGAAGUAAUUCGUUAUGUAAACUUCUGUCAUAGAGGAAGAACGGUGGAUAUAGGGAAUGAUAUCCAAGUGACGGUACUCUAUAAGAAAGCCACGGCUAACUACGUGCCAGCCGCCGCAGUAA